This 395-nucleotide ribosomal RNA is filed under the name uncultured bacterium. RNAcentral's name for it is "partial 16S ribosomal RNA". It matches the Rfam family "Bacterial small subunit ribosomal RNA", at positions 523 to 918 of the family's 1533-position model. The record is from RNAcentral.
AUACGUAGGGUGCAAGCGUUAAUCGGAAUUACUGGGCGUAAAGCGUGCGCAGGCGGUUUUGUAAGACAGUGGUGAAAUCCCCGGGCUCAACCUGGGAACUGCCAUUGUGACUGCAAGGCUGGAGUGCGGCAGAGGGGGAUGGAAUUCCGCGUGUAGCAGUGAAAUGCGUAGAUAUGCGGAGGAACACCGAUGGCGAAGGCAAUCCCCUGGGCCUGCACUGACGCUCAUGCACGAAAGCGUGGGGAGCAAACAGGAUUAGAUACCCUGGUAGUCCACGCCCUAAACGAUGUCAACUGGUUGUUGGGGAUUUAUUUUCUCAGUAACGAAGCUAACGCGUGAAGUUGACCGCCUGGGGAGUACGGCCGCAAGGUUGAAACUCAAAUGAAUUGACGGGG